Molecule: transfer RNA, 73 nt
Filed under: Geodermatophilus sp.
Lineage: Bacteria; Bacillati; Actinomycetota; Actinomycetes; Geodermatophilales; Geodermatophilaceae
Also listed under: 3 other names
Description: tRNA-Glu
Rfam family: tRNA
About the family: Transfer RNA (tRNA) molecules are approximately 80 nucleotides in length. Their secondary structure includes four short double-helical elements and three loops (D, anti-codon, and T loops). Further hydrogen bonds mediate the characteristic L-shaped molecular structure. tRNAs have two regions of fundamental functional importance: the anti-codon, which is responsible for specific mRNA codon recognition, and the 3' end, to which the tRNAs corresponding amino acid is attached (by aminoacyl-tRNA synthetases). tRNAs cope with the degeneracy of the genetic code in two manners: having more than one tRNA (with a specific anti-codon) for a particular amino acid; and 'wobble' base-pairing, i.e. permitting non-standard base-pairing at the 3rd anti-codon position.
Source: RNAcentral
GCCCCCAUCGUCUAGUGGUCCAGGACGUCGCCCUUUCAAGGCGGUAGCACGGGUUCGAACCCCGUUGGGGGCA